GAAAAUAAAAUGAAGUCCAGUCCGUGAAAAUAUCUACUCCUAUACUAUAUACAACUUACACACUAUCGGGUCGGGUCGGAUGAUUCGGCCCAAAAUUAAAUAACCUGUGGGCUCAGAUGCACAGUAAUCAUCAUAGCCCAUUACAAGGUAUACCAUGAGUAUACCGCUAAUAUAUAAUGAGUAUACAAUGAAUAUACAAAGUCUAUACAAGUGUAUGUCAGGUAUGAUCUCUUAUCUCAACAGUAGAGAGUUUUGGGAGAAUUGAUUUUUUUGUAUUUCUUACCAAAGUAUAUAUAGAGUACAAGAGGUAUCAAAUCCUACCAACUAUAGGACUGUACAAUAAUGGAAGAAAUCAAAUCCUACCAACUAUAGGACUGUCCUAACUUGGUCAAGAUCACGCGCCUUCCUUUCCCUUUCUUUAGCUAACCUGAAUAGCUUCAUGUCCCUGCCUUUCUCCCUUAAUUCCUCGUACAUGCGACCAAACGCCGCGUUUUUUGCUUCCGUAACUGCCAUCUUUGCUUCUUUCCUCGCCGCUUUGUAGAUCUCCCUGUUCACUAUCCGUUCUUCCUCGCUUGUGCUCCCUGAAGAAAGUACAAGAAAAAUCAGUUCCUUUUUUCUUUUGUGUCCCUAAAAUUUAUGUCCAAUGAAGUACAGCCCCUACAAAAACCCUAGUUUUGUUCAUUAUUAAAAAUUGACUAAAAAAAUAAAAAAAAAAUGGACUAAUAGAAACACAAUGUUUUACGUUUCAUUAGCUUCCUCUGUCGCCUUCUUGCACGCUCACACUUUUUGAUUUAGUUCCCAAUGAUUUCUGUCAGCUUUUUAAACUUUUUUUAAAGUGUCCAUUAAGCCUUAAAUAUUUGAAAAUAUAAAGAAAUUUAAAACAAGUACCUUGAAUUACUAUUAUUAUUUGGGAUCUUCACUGACGAAAAAAAUGUAAACUUUGUGAUUAAACCGAAAAAUCAUGGAAAAUGUAGAGAGAGAAUCUAGAGAGAAGGAGGAACAUUUGAGAACUCUCUAGAAGAGAGAGAGAGUUUAUUAAUCAGAAUGAUGAAAAUAAAAUCAAGUCCGUGAAAAUAUCUACUCCAAUACUAUAUACAAUUUACACACUAUCGGGUCGGGUCGGGUGAUCCGGCCCAAAAUUAAAUAACCUGUGGGCUCAGAUAUACAGUAAUCAUCAUAGCCCAUUACAAGGUAUAUCAUGAGUAUACCGCAAAUAUACAAUGAGUAUACAAUGAAUAUACAAAGUCUAUACAAGUGUAUGUCAGGUAUGAUCUCUUAUCUCAACACCCCCCCGCAAGUUGUAGGGGGAGACCACCUGCAACUUGAGCAAUAAGGGAUGAAGCACUGUCCCAGGCAAGGGCUUGGUCAUAAUGUCAGCUAGCUGACGAGUUGUAGGAACAUGAAACAGCUGAAUGAGGCCAUUCUGGAGCUAAUAGCGUACAAAGUGACAAUCCACUUCAAUGUGUUUGGUCCGUUCAUGAAAAACAGGAUUCUUAGCAAUGUGAAUAGCAGCUUGACUGUCAGAAUACAUAGAAAAAGGAAGAGAAACAUUAAUACCAAGAUCAUGAAACAAACGAGACAACCAAGAUAGUUCUGCAACAACCUUACUGAGGGCCCUGUAUUCAACCUCAGCAGAAGAUAAAGAAACCACAUGUUGCUUCUUAGAUUUCCAACUAAUCAGGCAACCACCCAGAGUAAUACAGAACCCAGUAACAGACCUCCUUGUAUCAGGGCAUGCAGCCCAGUCACUAUCAGAAUAACCAAUAACAAUGAAAUCAUUGCAAUCAGAAUAAAAGAGACCCAGAGAAGAAGUGCCCUUGAGAUAUCUCAGCACAUGAAGGGUCCAAUAACAGUGAAAUCACUGCAAUCAGAAUAAAAGAGACCCAGAGAAGAAGUUCCCUUGAGAUAUCUCAGCACAUGAAGGGCAGCAGUCAUAUGGGGGAGUCUGGGGAAUUCAAGGAAUUGACUCAGAUGUUGCACAACAAAACAGAUGUCAGGCCUAGUAUGGGUCAGAAAUAAGAGUUUACCAACAAGACUCAUAUACUGAUCAGGAGAAAGUAAAAGGUCAUCAAAAUCAGCAUGUAAUUUUGCAGUAAUGUCCAAAGGACAGACAACAGAAGAGACAUUGACACAGUCAAACUGUUGCAGCAAAUCACAAAUAUAUUUGUGUUGAUUAAGGAUCAUCCCACCAGGAAUAGCUGACAUCUCAAUGCCUAAAAAAUAAUGUAAGGACCCUAGGUCCUUAAUUUUAAACUGAUCAUCCAGAAACAGUUUCAGGGCAGCAAUUUCAUCACAGUCAUCCCCAGUAAGGAUGAUAACAUCCACAUAAACAGCUACAAUCACAAGGGACCCUGGUGUACCUUUUAUGAAUAGGGAAUAAUCAUUCAAAGAAUGCCUAUAGCCUCUGGAGUAGAGGGCAGAAGACAACUUGGCAUACCAUUGUCUGGAAGCCUGUCUGAGCCCAUAUAGGGAUUUGUUUAAUUUGCAAACAAGGGGAGCAGUAGAGGCAGAAGGGGCAGAAACAAAGGCAGGAGCAGAAACAACUAAACCAGGAGGAAGAUUCAUAUAGACCUCCUCAUCCAAAUCACCAUGCAAGAAAGCAUUAUUAAUAUCUAGUUGAAAUAAAGUCCAAUGAUUUUUCAUAGCCACAGCAAUAAGACACUUAAAUGUGCACAUUUUAACCAGGAAAAAAGGUGUCAGUGAAGUCAAUACCUUCAACCUGAGUAUCACCUCUAAUAACAAGUCUAGCUUNNN
Molecule: long non-coding RNA, 2754 nt
Filed under: Nicotiana benthamiana
Lineage: Eukaryota; Viridiplantae; Streptophyta; Magnoliopsida; Solanales; Solanaceae
Description: long non-coding RNA (NBEN_LNC010752)
Source: RNAcentral